AGGCCAAAAAUUUGGAUAGAAGAUGCUCUCUCAUGCCUCUCGAAAAGCAUAAUGUAGCGCGAAUUCUGAAGCAUAAUCCUCCUUGCCAUGUUUGAGUUAGAUUGAUUUGGUAAGUUCAACUUCCGACUGAUCCCCGGACCAUUAGGGUUCUGGUGAAGUCAUAUCUGUUUCAUGCUACAUUUCAACUUCUCUGAUUCAAGCUCUUGUUUCAAAGACUCGAGUCGUUCAAGUAAAUCAAUGUUUUCCUUUUGCAGCAGGUCCAUUUUCUU
Molecule: unclassified non-coding RNA, 269 nt
Filed under: Hevea brasiliensis (rubber tree)
Lineage: Eukaryota; Viridiplantae; Streptophyta; Magnoliopsida; Malpighiales; Euphorbiaceae
Source: RNAcentral